Molecule: ribosomal RNA, 613 nt
Filed under: Ramaria rubribrunnescens
Lineage: Eukaryota; Fungi; Basidiomycota; Agaricomycetes; Gomphales; Gomphaceae
Description: eukaryotic LSU rRNA
Rfam family: Eukaryotic large subunit ribosomal RNA
Source: RNAcentral
CUAACGAGGAUUCCCCUAGUAACGGCGAGUGAAGCGGGAAGAGCUCAAAUUUGUAAUCUGGCGGUCUAUGGCCGUCCGAGUUGUAGUCUGGAGAAGCGUUUUCUGCGUCGGACCGUGUACAAGUCCCUUGGAACAGGGCGUCAUAGAGGGUGAGAAUCCCGUCUUUGACACGGACUGCCGGUGCUUUGUGAUGCGCUCUCGAAGAGUCGAGUUGUUUGGGAAUGCAGCUCAAAACGGGUGGUAAAUUCCAUCUAAAGCUAAAUAUUGGCAAAAGACCGAUAGCGAACAAGUACCGUGAGGGAAAGAUGAAAAGCACUUUGGAAAGAGAGUUAAACAGUACGUGAAAUUGUUGAAAGGGAAACGCUUGAAGUCAGUCACGUCUUCCGAGACUCAGCCUUGCUUUUGCUUGGCGUAUUUCUUGGAGCGACGGGCCAGCAUCGAUUUCGAUCGUCGGAGAAAGGCUUUGGGGAACGUGGCACCUUUUUCGGGUGUGUUAUAGCCCUGGGUCGUAUGCGACGGUUGGGAUCGAGGAUCGCAGCACGCCUUUUUGGCCGGGGUUCGCCCACGUAACGUGCUUAGGAUGCUGGCGUAAUGGCUUUAAGCGACCCGUCUU